Molecule: ribosomal RNA, 492 nt
Filed under: uncultured bacterium
Lineage: Bacteria
Description: partial 16S ribosomal RNA
Rfam family: Bacterial small subunit ribosomal RNA
Source: RNAcentral
AGUGAACGCUGGCGGUAGGCCUAACACAUGCAAGUCGAACGGCAGCACAGUAAGAGCUUGCUCUUACGGGUGGCGAGUGGCGGACGGGUGAGGAAUACAUCGGAAUCUACUUUUUCGUGGGGGAUAACGUAGGGAAACUUACGCUAAUACCGCAUACGACCUACGGGUGAAAGCAGUGGAUCUUCGGACCUUGCGCGAUUGAAUGAGCCGAUGUCGGAUUAGCUAGUUGGCGGGGUAAAGGCCCACCAAGGCGACGAUCCGUAGCUGGUCUGAGAGGAUGAUCAGCCACACUGGAACUGAGACACGGUCAAGACUCCUACGGGAGGCAGCAGUGGGGAAUAUGGGACAAUGGGCGCAAGCCUGAUCCAGCCAUACCGCGUGGGUGAAGAAGGCCUUCGGGUUGUAAAGACCUUUUGUUGGGAAAGAAAAGCAGCAGGUUAAUACCCCGCUGUUCUGACGGUACCCAAAGAAUAAGCACCGGCUAACUUCGUG